Limulus polyphemus (Atlantic horseshoe crab) is the source of this 6340-nucleotide long non-coding RNA. RefSeq lists it as uncharacterized. The transcript is spliced from 3 exons. The record is from RefSeq and is a predicted model, not a curated record. Lineage: Eukaryota; Metazoa; Arthropoda; Merostomata; Xiphosura; Limulidae.
ACAAAACUACGAUUGAUGGCGCAGUUACCGGUGUGUUUACCGGUUGAGUUGUUGUACGUUGUUUGACACGAUAAAUUUUGAUUUAUUUUAUUUUUGUUACAUACCUUUUACUGCUAUUGGACACACAUAGAUCUCCCUGUGUUACUUGUUGCGGAACAGUAAAAGGAAAUUAUUUUGUGUGUUUCAUCACUGGUAUUGCGACGCAUCUAUUUCGUAACCGUAUUGUAUGCAGAAACUGGCAGUGACGCAGUUGAUCUGAGAGAAGAAGUAGCCUUUGCCCGAGAGGGUCAAACCGACAAUUUCACCUGUGACAAACUGAAAUUAUAACAGUUAAGUUUAUAAUAAGGAAAAUAUCUUCCGAUGUUUAAUUAUUUUGACCUUGUUUACAUUAAGUUUUAUCGUUAAAAAAAUGUCAACCUUUUGCUUAAUGGUCAAAGUACGUUUGCAAAAUAAUGAUUUGAUCUCUGUAACUCGAACGAUCAGGAACGAUUUGUUGGAACUCCAUCGGCAUCGUGAACUUCUCAGAAAGACUAUUAAAAGUUAAAAUGGAAACAUAAACAUGAUGUGAAAACUCCAGAAAAUUACAAAUGGCGACAGUUGGAAGCAAUUUGGCAAAGGAGAGAAGAGUAGAAUUCUGUACAUCAAGUGUUUUAGCGGACAAGUACAACAUAAAAUUAAUCAAUGUAGAGCAAAAUAUGGAUCAACGACAGUGAAGAAAUCUCUGGACUGUGCAGACCACCACAGCGAAAUGAAACAAGCUCGGGUAAGAUUGCUUACACUAAAGCUCGUAAUGUUUCUGUCGGGUCCCUUGGAAAGCUCCGGAUGGAACUUGGGAGUAGGCCGAGUACCACGCUGGGUUCACAUGGGACAAGCUUGUGAACACAGCUGGUGGUAUCUCAGUGUAACCCCAAAAUGGACAUCACCUUACACCUUACUGGAAGCCUUAAUUCAAAUAAUCUUCAUUGUAUAGUCCUCAAACAUAACGGAAUGUUGUAAUGACUUGUGGUAUCAAGAGAACACUGUUUAACCGUGAAGUUAAAACCCUUAAUAGAUAAGUUACAAGUAAUUCUGCAGUUUUUUUGUAAUGUUGAACUACGUUAGUCAGAGACAACUGACGAUAUAUGGAGAACAACUAGUGUAUAGCUAUGUAUACGGUACCAUUUUUUCGCCACAUUUAUUUUAUUAAUAUUUAAUUUCUUAAAUUUCGACCGUAAUCAGUGGCAUCUUAAGGCACGGGCUAACUGGGCUGUAGCCCAAGGCCCCGAACCUUCCAGGGGCAUCCAUCCCAAAUAUAUUGUCUGUAUUUAUUUUUUAUUUUUAAGUGUGGAUUGGGACACAAUUCACACUUAGCCCAGAUCCCUCCUAAUUUUAUUCCACUCACCCAAUGUCUCACUUUUUGUAAGAGACAUUGAACGUUAAUGUUAUACAACUAUAGGAUAUGAAUGUUAUACAACUAUAGGAUAUGAAUGUUAUACAACUAUAUUAUAUAUGAUCAAAUCUCAAGCGCUGUUGCGAAGUUACACACAAAACACAAGACGGUAUACAGUUUUGGUGGAAGGAUGACAUACGUCACAGUCUCCGUUUUGACAAGGAAUUACAUUUAUUGAGUCGAUUCAAGUAUGAGCUUUUAAGUUUUAGUUUCAGUUUGGCCGUACUAAGUAGAACAUACAAUCCAACUUUACUCGGGGAACUAAUCGAAAAACAAGUUUCACGUAUCGGUUAUCAAGGGAUUUGUGAUAUACUGGCAUGGAACGGAGAAGAGUCGCCAAGAUUUGUGAUAUACUGGCAUGGAACGGAGAAGAGUCGCCAAGAUUUGUGAUAUACUGGCAUGGAACGGAGAAGAAUCGCCAAGAUUUGUGAUAUACUGGCAUGGAACGGAGAAGAGUCGCCAAGAUUUGUGAUAUACUGGCAUGGAACGGAGAAGAAUCGCCAAGAUUUCGGGUUAUCAAGUGAUUUGUGAUAUACUGGCAUGGAACGGAGAAGAAUCGCUAAAAAGGGGGAUAGGGGCACAGCCUCCCGGACACUGCGAUUAUAGACAAAGCUACCUCCUAAUCUGAAUUUAAGUUUGAAAUCAUUUUUGGGGGAUAAAAACCUACGCAAAUGGAUAUUGUACAUUAAGAGCGCCACGCCCUUGAGCAAUGUUUAACCUUGACAACUUAGGUGUUAUUAUGCUAUUCAUGAUGUUGUUUUUGCUGCGCAAAGCUACACAAAUGGCGAUCUACACCUCGCAGAGACUCGAACCGCGGAUUUAGCGUCGUAAGACUGUAAACUUACCAUUGUCCCACGUGCGACGUGCUGAUCAUAGAGGUUCGUGACCACUUCAGAGGAGUAAGUUAUCGCCUCCAGUUGUUUGUUUGUUAGUUUUAGAAUAUCGCACAAAACCGCAUAAGCCGUGUAGAUCUCUCUUGUUCAGUAAAUUUUACACUUACAUUGUAGUUUGUACCCUAGUUGUAUUUGUCUACGUGUAGUCGUCCUUGAAUUUGAACUGUUAGGUUACAGAAAAGGUAGUCAACAGUACUGAAUCUUGUGUAGCCGAAUAGUAUAAUGCAAUUGUCACUCAUAUAGCUCACUCAUGGUCCCUAAGGUGCGGAGCUCGUUUAUUUUUAUUUAUUUUUUUGCGGCAACGGAACGCAAACCAUGAACCCUCGGACUCACAGUCCAGGCAAUCUAACCACUAGGCCACGCGUGGUCUAUUGAAACAGUGAAUGGCAGGGGACGUUUUAGGCUUAAGUAUCCAUAUCUAGUGAUAGUGUUUAGAUUUUAUUCACAUACGAAGCUUGCAAAAAAAAGGGGUUAAAUCUGGUAGGUGGCGUAUCCCUGCCACUAGGUGAGUCCUAGUUAUUCAAAUAUCUCUCUUGUCGGGUACAUUUAACACUCUUAAAUAGAAAUAUCAUGUUUCUCUGUUUUAUACGAAAUGAUUUUUGUUUUGGUGUUGCUGUCUUCAAACUGCUUUAAAACAUUAUAGUUCGUAUUCUGGUUUUGUUAUUUUUCAGCGCAAAGCUAAACAAUGGGAUAUCUGUGCUCUACUCACUGCGGGUAUCGAAACCAGAAUUUUAGAGUCAGAAGCGUGCAGACUUACCGCUGAUCCACAGGGGGAGGGGGCUGUGUUAUAUGAAUAAUAAAUGUAUAAAUCAGAGGUGGGGUUGAAGUGUUUAGUAAGUAGUUUAUCCUAAAUUCUUGAUUUAACGAUAGUGAAUUGGGUUUUGUUUAUUAAGUUUACCUUUUCCUCAUGAAAUUACUAAUGCAUGUGACAAAGAAUAACCUUCAUUAAGUUUUAUUAUACCAUAAGUGUCAAAUUGAAAAUUUCCACUUGUGAUUUUUAAUAUUAGUUUCUAUUAGAAGGAUGUUAUGUUUUGGCAGGUCUCUCAUCACCAUAGUAACUCAGUUCUAACUAUAACUAUAUUUAUUGCAGGUCUAGAUAGGCUUUUCAUCGUAAUAAUCAUACAACUCGUAUUAAUGUUAGGUUUAAAUAGGUUUUUCGUCCCCCAUAGUAACAUGUCUCGUACUGUAUGAAUGUUAGAUAAGUCAUUUAUCACCAUAGUAACCCAGUUCUUACUAUAACAAUGACAGACUCAGUUCUUACUAUAAGAAUGAUAAGUUUAAAUAGGUCUCUCAUCACCAUAGUAACUCAGUUCUUACUAUAUAAACGAUAGGUUUAAAUAGGUCUCCCAUCAUCAUAGUAACUCAGUUCUUACUAUAUAAACGAUAGGUUUAAAUAGGUCCCAUCACGAUAGUAACUCAGUUCUUACUAUAUAAACGAUAGGUCCCAUCACCAUAGUAACACAGUUCUUACUAUAUGAAUGCGUUACUCAUUUCCUAUUAUACUGUGGUUAGCCUUACAUAGGCCUCUUUUCCAGUUUGUUAGGUUUAAAUACGCCUGUUUCUCUGCGUGUCACUCAGUUCUUGCUAUACGGUUGUAAGGUUUAAAUAGACCUGUCUACCAGUGUGUCACUCAGUUCUUGCUAUACGGUUGUUAGGUUUAAAUAGACCUGUCUACCAGUGUGUCACUCAGUUCUUGCUAUACGGUUGUUAGGUUUAAAUAGACCUGUCUACCUUGUAUGUCACUCAGUUCUUACUAUACGGUUGUUACGUCUAAAUAGUUCUAACUCUGAAAGUAUCACUCAUCAGAAAAUAUGUAAUUAUCAGAUUUUAGUGGAUAAUUAGAAUAAAUUUAUUCAGAUCCAGGAAACUUAGUUAUUAACAUUUUAUUAAUACAUUGAUUCGUGCCUGGACUUAGAGUGAUUGAUAAUAGUAGAACUAACAAUGAGAAUAUAACAAUAGUCUUGUAUUUGUUUUGUUUGCCUCUUUGGUAUCGAAACCCGGUUUUAGCAUCAUAAGUAGCGCUGCCACUAGGAAGCUAAUAGUCGUGUAAAAACGAAUAUGAUGUAUGGUUUGUGACAUAACAGAACGAAUUUUGUAUAAACUACGAAACCUGCCCUCUGCAUGGUUGUACUGAAGGUGGUAAGUUUGUGGCAUAACAACAGAACGAAUUUUGUAUAAACUACGAAACCUGCCCUCUGCAUGGUUGUACUGAAGGUGGUAAGUUUGUGGCAUAACAACAGAUUUUUUGUAGAGAUUCUGAAACCUGCUUUCUCAUUUCUAAUAGCAUUUAGUCUGCAUGGUUGUACUGAAUGUGGUAAGUUUGUGGCAUAACAACAGAUUAUUUGUAGAGAUUCUGAAACCUGCUUUCUCAUUUCUAACAGCAUUUAGUCUGCAUGCUUGUUCCAAAGGUGAUAAGUUUGUGGCAUAACAACAGAUUUUUGUAGAGAUUCUGAAACCUGCUCUCUUCUUUUUACUGUAUGUUGCAUGCGAUCUUGACUUCUUUAUCUACGUUCCAGUAAUGCAUUUGCACGUUUACUCUCCAACUGUAAAUGCAUUCUCUGGGAUGCUAGAUAUAGUUGUAUUUCCUCAACUUCUAUCCAAACACGUGCAUGGAAAAAUUUAAUGUUUCUUCAGAUUCAGAUCUUAUUACGUCCAGACUCCAUCCGAACAGGAACAUGGACCACUAAUUCUUCAUAUUCUGACUGUAUUCACCCCCCACUUUGCAUCUGAGCACGUGUAUAGGUCGCCCAAAAUGAUUUUUAGUUUCUUUAAUCUCUAAAAAAAAAACUAUUUUCUUCUAUCUAUAUCUGUAUAUGAACUGAAGUUAUUAUAUUGUUUUCUGUGUUUGCUAUUUCUAACAAUCACGAAAUCGCCUUUAACAUUUUUUCUCAAGCCUUGUGUUUUUUUUUCUUAAUAUUUAUUUUCAAGUAUUUCGGUAUAAGUUCGAUAUUUAACAUACAAGCAGGUAUGUACGAUCUGUCCAUGUACUGUUCCGUAUUUAUACACGUAUAAUAAUAGAAUAAAUAAAUGAAGUUUGUUUUCUAACUUAUUAUCGAGUUUGCUCCGAUGUAACUACUAUUAUCAUUCGAAUUUCUUCAAGUUUGAAGAUAUAAAUCCUUAUGUGUCACUACUCCGCCUUCAUACAUACGUGUGAAUUACAAUACUAUUUCCUUAUGUGUCACUACUCCGCCUUCAUACAUACGUGUGAAUUACAAUACUAUUUCCUUAUGUGUCACUACUCCGCCUUCUUACAUACGUGUGAAUUACAAUACUAUUUCCUUAUGUGUCACUACUCCGCCUUCGUACAUACGUGUGAAUUACAAUACUAUUUCCUCGGAAACUCACGACGAUUUUAGUACGUUUACAGUACACGUGCUAACAAAAUGAAAUACAAUUCGUUCCCUCAGUCUGAAACUUAUUAACCUUAUAAAUGUUUGAAGUUAUUUAACUUAUGACGAAUGUUUUCCAUUUUGUAUUUAGUUUAUUUUAGUUGUUUUAGCGCAAAAACCACGCAAUGGGCUAUAUGCAUUUUGUUCACUGCGAGGAAUCGUACCCUGGAUUUUAGCAUUGUAUGUCCGUAAACUUACCACAGACUUAAUGGGGGCUUCAUCGGCGGGACAGAGGCAAGUUCACGGACUUACAACGCUAAAAUUAGGGGUUUGAUUCUCCGUAAUGGACACUGCAGAUAGUCCAAUGCGGCUUUACCCGAAAACAGACAUGCGUACAAACCCACCGGGGAAAUGUUCAUUGAUCAUCACAAUUAUCCUAAAGACUGGUUGAAACGUGGUAGAUCUAAACGGAUAACAUUUUCCGAGUGGUAGGCUUUUCUAAUCAAAUUGUUUUAAAAAUAAACAGAGUUGAAAAACGAAGAGUGAGAAAUAAAAAAAAAAACUAGGCCAUCUCAUACAACACCCGAUUUUCCGAAACACGUGUAAAACUGGAGCGUCAAAAAGUAUUAGAUGAUAGGAAAACCUACAAGAAUUUCAAAAUAAUGCUGUUGGUUUUGACGAAAAGAAAU